Molecule: long non-coding RNA, 1231 nt
Organism: Passer domesticus (house sparrow)
Lineage: Eukaryota; Metazoa; Chordata; Aves; Passeriformes; Passeridae
Exons: 3
Source: RefSeq, a predicted model, not a curated record
GCCAGCCUUCUCCUCCCUCAACACCUUGAGCUUACAAGCCUAAGACAGAAAGCAUACAAGGAAGAAUGAAGUCAACAGAAAUACCAGACACAUCAUUUUAACAGCUCAAGCCAAAACACUACCAGUGGUGCAGCACAUAGUACAUCCAGAAGAGGCAAUUUAGGGACUGUGAAUGGAGCUGCAAGGCCUCCUCCUGAUGAUCUGCAAGAGCUUCUUUCAGAGUUGAUUCAGGACAGGGGAAAAAUUCCCUUUUGUUUUCCUAUGUCCCAGAUAGUGGCACCAUCCCUGCCACCACAGGUAGCUAAAGGUUUUCUAGUUAAAUGUUUUUCUCUUUCUGAUGAGAACAUGAUAUAUGGAAGCAAAUUUGUGUUGAAAAUUUUGAAAUGCUAAAUGGAAAUGCACCAUUUUUGCUUCCUGUUCUGCCUGCCUGUCCAGCCAGCUGCCUGCUCAGCUCCCUUCUCUCUCCCUUGGCAGGUGCAGGACUUCUGUCUUGCAAAGUGCUUGUAAAAGCACCUUUUGGUUCCAAAACACUAGGAAGUGCCACAGCAAGAGUUGUCUGUUUUUGUUAAAGCAAAUGUACAGCUAUUGCCAAAGCAAAGCUAAUGAGGACUGCAGGAGCCAGGCAGAGAUUCAAACUUCUGGACUGACAUCAUCACAAUACGAAACAAGAAAAUUUAUUCAAAAAACAAAGGAAAGCAGAGGGGCAUUGCAAGAGAGGGAGAUUUUGCUAAGCGGAUUAACAUAUUAACUAAAAAUAAAGAUUGGACAUAUUUGGAAUUCUAAGAUAAUCUUGCUUUUCUGGUGACAAUAGAAAAAACUCAAGCCUCUCUCCUCUACUUUAUGUGGUGCUCCAAUUCAUUCUAGCCUGUUAAUUCAUGAGUUUAUCUGUACUGUACAUAAAAAAGAUAUGUCUAUGCCUAGAGCACAUGCUGCCACUUGGGUACAGAUGAUCUAGUGAUUGGCAUAUUUUGAUUCAUAAACCCAAUGCUGAAUACAUUACCAGAAGAUUUGUUUUGAAAUAAAAAAUUGUUCAUUUUUUAUUUAAUUACUUCAAAUGUUUUCCCCAUAUAGCAUCUCCCUUUCAUUUUGUCCAUCCAACUUUAUGAACCUGAUCAAGGAGUGGAUUUUUUAAAGCCCCCUUAUAGACUCCAUUUAGCCUGAAGUGCCAAAUCUCCCUGCCCUUGUAACAGCAGUCUUGGUGCUGUGCUUGAGUCCACAGCAGUCUGAGCAG